Molecule: long non-coding RNA, 1071 nt
Organism: Carcharodon carcharias (great white shark)
Lineage: Eukaryota; Metazoa; Chordata; Chondrichthyes; Lamniformes; Lamnidae
Exons: 3
Source: RefSeq, a predicted model, not a curated record
UUGGAGCCAGCGGAAUGGGCGGGAGGGGCGGGGCAGGGCUUCAUAAAUGCCAUGUGGAAGCUUUGAACCCCGAGUUAAAAGUUAUCGGUCCCGCAUUAGCACCGAAAGGUCUAAGAGCUGCGGGGCGCCUCCCGUUCACAGGCCCGGUACAGCAGAGCGCAGCAUGCGCUGUGAUCCUGGAUCAGGAGACAGGCAAAGAGGGGGUUGCCAACCUUCCAGGAUUGGACUGGAUUCUCCAGGAGCUGAAGAUCAAUCUCCAGAACACUGCUGUGUGCAGCCCUGGAGAAAUAUCUUAAGAGCAUUAAAAAGAUUGUUUUAAUUUGUAAUUUUCUUUGAACGUUUCUCUUUAUAAAAAUAUUGAAAGUGGGACAAAUCAUCAUCCAAUUGCGCCACGAGACAUUUUGCUUUCCAAUUGGCCUGAGAAGGCAGCGUGUCACAAGGAAGGAUGUGUUGGCCGACUAAUGGCUGGAGUAUAGGGGCAAGUCAUGUGAUGGAACCUCCAGGAAUACAUUUAAUCAGAGUUGGCAACCCUAGAGGAGAGAAUAUUGUGAAUUUCUGUCCCAGACCGACAGUGAUGGUUUCUGUAAACUUACAGGGCACUGGAAUUGGAGAAUUGAUAGGCUGGAAACUCAAACCAAACAUCACAUCAAGAUCUGACAGAUUCACUCGAUUCAUCAGAAACUGAAUAUCAGCAGCAUCUGAAUGUGAAAGCUCCUGUAAAUACUGACUGGAAAGGGAACAGAAUCUCAGGAGGUUCCACACCGCUGGCUGCUCGUGUGAAAGUGAUCUCCGAUCAGAUUAAUGUGCUUCUGCUUUUCACAGGGGAUUAGAAGGGGAGGAUUUGCAGUCAGGAAACAGAAACAAAACAUCACAGCAGAAUCUGACAUUCGACUGAUUUAUCGUAACCUGAAUAUCAUUUGAUUUUGAACGUGGAAGGAAAAAGCACCGUUCACAGUGGAGAGAAAUCGUACACAUGUCCUGUGUGUGGACGAGGCUUCAACCGAUCAUCUGACCUGUCAAGACACCAGCGCAGCCACAUCCGGGAGAAACCAUGGAAAUGUGGGGAUUGUG